CCUACGGGUGGCAGCAGUGAGGAAUAUUGGUCAAUGGACGCAAGUCUGAACCAGCCAUGCCGCGUGCAGGAAGACGGCUCUAUGAGUUGUAAACUGCUUUUGUACGAGGGUAAACGCAGAUACGUGUAUCUGUUUGAAAGUAUCGUACGAAUAAGGAUCGGCUAACUCCGUGCCAGCAGCCGCGGUAAUACGGAGGAUUCAAGCGUUAUCCGGAUUUAUUGGGUUUAAAGGGUGCGUAGGCGGUCGGAUAAGUUAGAGGUGAAAUCCCGAGGCUCAACUUCGGAAUUGCCUCUGAUACUGUUCGGCUAGAGAGUAGUUGCGGUAGGCGGAAUGUAUGGUGUAGCGGUGAAAUGCUUAGAGAUCAUACAGAACACCGAUUGCGAAGGCAGCUUACCAAGCUACUUCUGACGUUGAGGCACGAAAGCGUGGGGAGCGAACAGGAUUAGAUACCCGUGUAGUC
This 460-nucleotide ribosomal RNA is filed under the name uncultured bacterium. RNAcentral describes it as "partial 16S ribosomal RNA". It matches the Rfam family "Bacterial small subunit ribosomal RNA", at positions 338 to 795 of the family's 1533-position model. The record is from RNAcentral.